AGAACACAGUUUAAGGGGUGCGCGCGGAAGUGGGAACCAGCCGGUGGCCGCUGCCCGGCGCCAGAACGUCUACCAUUCAGCCCGGGCGUGCGCGGGGCCGGGAAGAGGCUGGAGUAGAGAAGCGAGCGCCCGCGAGUGCGUGGCCGGUCCGCGAGCGCGUGUGGUGUGUGCCUUGUGAGCACUGCGGGUUCGCUGGACCCCACGGCCAGGGCCGCGCCCCGCACCGCAGCUGUCGGGUUACCCACCGUUCGGUUUUCCGCUGUGGCUGAACACAGCGGCUCUGCCCUUGCCAGUCUCCAUCUCACCUCGGGGAUCGGCAAAUGCACGCAUCAUGGAUUCUCCGGAUGCUCCAACCCGCGGACUCCAAUGGGCGUCCCAAGACGCCCCCACACCCAGCGCGGCGCCUCAAGCACAUGGGACCCUCUCAAGGCAACUCGCCGCGCAGUCAGCGGCCGACUAGCAGGUCCGGAUGCUCCUGCGCUCUGGCGGCCUGGACUUCGCGCCCUCGCUAAGCGGGCGCGUCUGCCAGGCGCUGCUGCCACCAGCACCAGGAGCGUGCUCGGGGGCCUCCGGGAGGUGGAAACGGGAUGUGGGGGUCAUCCUGCCCGCUCCUGACAACUUUUUUUCCUACGUUUCCCUGCAGACCCAGAGCAGCGAGGUCACGGUGUCCGCGGCCUCAGCAGGAAGGACCCCGCGAUGGUUCUUCACGACUCACCCCCGCGAACAGCGCACCCGAGCCGGCGCGCACGGAGGGCUGCCGCGCGUGGAACUGAGCGGGUCCUGCGGUUGGUUUGCGGCCCUCUUCCCCCCACCCACUCACAUCCCUGCCGGGUGCGUCCGCGCUCACCUGUCAGUGCGGCGGGUCCUCGGGGCCUGCGCUUUCGACGCGUGGCGCUGAGUGCGGCCGCGGCCAGAGCCGCCGGGGCUCGGCGCGGGGUCAGCGGGACCGAGAGUGACGCGGCGGCCGUGCACUGGGUCGCCCGGUCCGCGGAAGGCGCACCGAGUGCCAGGCAUCGCGCCGUCUCCCGUUUAAAUGCCGGCGGCAGAGCGCGGCGCCCGGGGCCGCGCCUCUCCAUUGGCCAGGCGCCGCCGCCGCCGCCAGACCCGCUAUCCGCCCCCUUUCCCGGUACUGCCCCCGCCCCCCGCACCCCUCCUGCUUCCCCGCGGGGUCCCCUCUCCGCCCGCCUCGCCUCUUUGUCUGCUCCCCCCGCCCGGGCCGGCUGGGAGAGGUCACCCCAGGGAACCGCGCCUGGAAUGCACAGCAAAUCACAUUUUCCGCUCCCGUUGGAGAGGGAAGAGCGGGAGGAAAUCCCCCCGGCUGGCGGCCCCUCAUUCCUUCUCUGCCCCAGGUCUGGGCUUUCCCUGUCGGCCGCCCGGCAUCGCCUGCGUUGGUCCCGCGCUCAGUAGCGGAGACUGCACUGGGAAGAGCAAGAUCUCCGUGGGAUCGUGCCAGAUUCGGCCAUUCUUCCCCUCUGGAGGGCACGAGACUGCGGGAUGCUCUGGUCGAGCGGCCGUCGUGGCUCCCGCGCGGCCCCGCCCGAGGCCCCCAACUUCGAGGGCGCUGACCCCGGCGCCCCCGUUAACCUGGCGGGCUCGCCGGCCGCCAGCAGGAGCCUGUCGCCAACAUGACACCCUCCUCUCCUCGCCCGCCACGGGUUCUUUCAGCCCAGAUGCCGGCGGCCUCGGCUGUGAGUGUACAGAGGGGAGUCACGGGAGGAGAAUAAAACUAAAAGACCGUC
This 1739-nucleotide long non-coding RNA is filed under the name Pan troglodytes (chimpanzee). RNAcentral describes it as "lincRNA". The record is from RNAcentral. Lineage: Eukaryota; Metazoa; Chordata; Mammalia; Primates; Hominidae.